Molecule: ribosomal RNA, 440 nt
Filed under: uncultured bacterium
Lineage: Bacteria
Description: bacterial SSU rRNA
Rfam family: Bacterial small subunit ribosomal RNA
Source: RNAcentral
CCUACGGGAGGCAGCAGUGGGGAAUAUUGGACAAUGGGCGCAAGCCUGAUCCAGCCAUGCCGCGUGAGUGAAGAAGGUCUUCGGAUUGUAAAGCUCUUUUGGUGGGGAAGAUGAUGACUGUACCCACAGAAUAAGCUCCGGCUAACUUCGUGCCAGCAGCCGCGGUAAUACGAAGGGAGCUAGCGUUGUUCGGAAUCACUGGGCGUAAAGCGCGCGCAGGCGGCUUUUUAAGUUAGGAGUGAAAGCCUUGGGCUUAACCCAAGAAAUGCUCUUAAGACUGGGAAGCUAGAGUGUGGGAGAGGAUAGUGGAAUUCCGUGUGUAGAGGUGAAAUUCGUAGAUAUACGGAGGAACACCGAUGGCGAAGGCACCUAUCUGGAACACAACUGACGCUGAGGCGCGAAAGUGUGGGGAUCAAACAGGAUUAGAUACCCUGGUAGUC